GGCCCAAAUUUGAAGUAGAGUAGACUGGAAGGAUCAUCUGACCUUACUAAACUACUCUUCUUCGAGUUUAUGCCC
Molecule: non-coding RNA, 75 nt
Organism: Haemonchus placei
Lineage: Eukaryota; Metazoa; Nematoda; Chromadorea; Rhabditida; Trichostrongylidae
Source: Rfam